CCUACGGGAGGCAGCAGUAGGGAAUAUUGCUCAAUGGGCGAAACCCUGAAGCAGCAACGCCGCGUGGAGGAUGAAGGUUUUCGGAUUGUAAACUCCUUUUGUUAGAGAAGAUAAUGACGGUAUCUAACGAAUAAGCACCGGCUAACUCCGUGCCAGCAGCCGCGGUAAUACGGAGGGUGCAAGCGUUACUCGGAAUCACUGGGCGUAAAGAGCGCGUAGGCGGGAUAGCAAGUCAGAUGUGAAAUCCUAUGGCUUAACCAUAGAACUGCAUUUGAAACUGUUAUUCUAGAGUAUGGGAGAGGUAGGUGGAAUUCGUGGUGUAGGGGUAAAAUCCGUAGAGAUCAAGAGGAACACUCAUUGCGAAGGCGACCUGCUAGAACAUAACUGACGCUGAGGUUCGAAAGCGUGGGUAGCAAACAGGAUUAGAUACCCCAGUAGUC
RNAcentral lists this ribosomal RNA (440 nucleotides) under uncultured bacterium. RNAcentral describes it as "partial 16S ribosomal RNA". It matches the Rfam family "Bacterial small subunit ribosomal RNA", at positions 338 to 795 of the family's 1533-position model. The record is from RNAcentral.